This 67-nucleotide transfer RNA is filed under the name Pipistrellus hesperidus. RNAcentral describes it as "tRNA-Val". The record is from RNAcentral. Lineage: Eukaryota; Metazoa; Chordata; Mammalia; Chiroptera; Vespertilionidae.
CAAAAUGUAGCUUAACCAAAGCACUUAGUUUACACCUAAAAGAUUUCAAACAGAUUGAACAUUUUGA